GUCUACAGCCAUACCACCCUGAACGCACCCGAUCUCGUCUGAUCUCGGAAGCUAAGCAGGGUCGGGCCAGGUUAGUACUUGGAUGGGACACAUACUCUCCUGGUGUUGGUUC
RNAcentral lists this ribosomal RNA (112 nucleotides) under Octodon degus (degu). The record is from RNAcentral. Lineage: Eukaryota; Metazoa; Chordata; Mammalia; Rodentia; Octodontidae.